This 252-nucleotide long non-coding RNA is filed under the name Capra hircus (goat). RNAcentral's name for it is "lncRNA (ENSCHIG00000002287.1)". The record is from RNAcentral. Lineage: Eukaryota; Metazoa; Chordata; Mammalia; Artiodactyla; Bovidae.
GCAGGAGCCGUGAGGCAAGAAGCUCUGGGAUCAAUUAAAAUGCCAGGCUUUUCCAGGCUGGUUUCCAGCGCAUCUGUGCAUGAUUCCACAUAAAUUUAGGGAAUUAAAGAUCAGACAAAGGCCUAUCCAAUGUUUAUUGGUUACUCCAAGAUUUUCAGCUUGCUGUCAGAGGAAACUAGCAUCCAGAACAGAGAGUAAGUGGUUCAAGAAUCCACAGACAAAGCGUUCUUCCUUCCACUCCAAGCAAAACAG